Molecule: ribosomal RNA, 268 nt
Filed under: Argas hermanni
Lineage: Eukaryota; Metazoa; Arthropoda; Arachnida; Ixodida; Argasidae
Description: partial 18S ribosomal RNA
Rfam family: Eukaryotic small subunit ribosomal RNA
Source: RNAcentral
NNCCAGCUCCAAUAGCGUAUGCUAAAGUUGCUGCGGUUAAAAAGCUCGUAGUUGGAUCUCAGUUGCAGGCGGGAAGGGCAUCUAAACGAUGCGACGGCCCGCACUGAACAUCAUGCCUGCCGUUCCUUGGUCCCCUUCAUUGGGUGCCUUGGGGUGGUCGGUGCAUUUACUUUGAAAAAAUUAGAGUGCUCAACGCAGGCGCAUUGCCUGAAUAACUAUGCAUGGAAUAAUAGAACAAGACCCCGUUUCUGUUCUGUUGGUUUUUUGG